GACGGACGCUGGCGGCGUGCUUAACACAUGCAAGUCGAACGGAAAGGCCCUGCUUUUGUGGGGUGCUCGAGUGGCGAACGGGUGAGUAACACGUGAGUAACCUGCCCUUGACUUUGGGAUAACUUCAGGAAACUGGGGCUAAUACCGGAUAGGAGCUCCUGCUGCAUGGUGGGGGUUGGAAAGUUUCGGCGGUUGGGGAUGGACUCGCGGCUUAUCAGCUUGUUGGUGGGGUAGUGGCUUACCAAGGCUUUGACGGGUAGCCGGCCUGAGAGGGUGACCGGCCACAUUGGGACUGAGAUACGGCCCAGACUCCUACGGGAGGCAGCAGUGGGGAAUAUUGCACAAUGGGCGGAAGCCUGAUGCAGCAACGCCGCGUGCGGGAUGACGGCCUUCGGGUUGUAAACCGCUUUCGCCUGUGACGAAGCGUGAGUGACGGUAAUGGGUAAAGAAGCACCGGCUAUCUACGUG
RNAcentral lists this ribosomal RNA (468 nucleotides) under uncultured bacterium. Its description in RNAcentral is "partial 16S ribosomal RNA". It matches the Rfam family "Bacterial small subunit ribosomal RNA", at positions 28 to 507 of the family's 1533-position model. The record is from RNAcentral.